Molecule: ribosomal RNA, 1372 nt
Filed under: uncultured bacterium
Lineage: Bacteria
Description: bacterial SSU rRNA
Rfam family: Bacterial small subunit ribosomal RNA
Source: RNAcentral
GAUGAACGCUGGCGGCGUGCCUAAUACAUGCAAGUCGAGCGAACGGACGAGAAGCUUGCUUCUCUGAUGUUAGCGGCGGACGGGUGAGUAACACGUGGAUAACCUACCUAUAAGACUGGGAUAACUUCGGGAAACCGGAGCUAAUACCGGAUAAUAUUUUGAACCGCAUGGUUCAAAAGUGAAAGACGGUCUUGCUGUCACUUAUAGAUGGAUCCGCGCUGCAUUAGCUAGUUGGUAAGGUAACGGCUUACCAAGGCAACGAUGCAUAGCCGACCUGAGAGGGUGAUCGGCCACACUGGAACUGAGACACGGUCCAGACUCCUACGGGAGGCAGCAGUAGGGAAUCUUCCGCAAUGGGCGAAAGCCUGACGGAGCAACGCCGCGUGAGUGAUGAAGGUCUUCGGAUCGUAAAACUCUGUUAUUAGGGAAGAACAUAUGUGUAAGUAACUGUGCACAUCUUGACGGUACCUAAUCAGAAAGCCACGGCUAACUACGUGCCAGCAGCCGCGGUAAUACGUAGGUGGCAAGCGUUAUCCGGAAUUAUUGGGCGUAAAGCGCGCGUAGGCGGUUUUUUAAGUCUGAUGUGAAAGCCCACGGCUCAACCGUGGAGGGUCAUUGGAAACUGGAAAACUUGAGUGCAGAAGAGGAAAGUGGAAUUCCAUGUGUAGCGGUGAAAUGCGCAGAGAUAUGGAGGAACACCAGUGGCGAAGGCGACUUUCUGGUCAGUAACUGACGCUGAUGUGCGAAAGCGUGGGGAUCAAACAGGAUUAGAUACCCUGGUAGUCCACGCCGUAAACGAUGAGUGCUAAGUGUUAGGGGGUUUCCGCCCCUUAGUGCUGCAGCUAACGCAUUAAGCACUCCGCCUGGGGAGUACGACCGCAAGGUUGAAACUCAAAGGAAUUGACGGGGACCCGCACAAGCGGUGGAGCAUGUGGUUUAAUUCGAAGCAACGCGAAGAACCUUACCAAAUCUUGACAUCCUUUGACAACUCUAGAGAUAGAGCUUUCCCCUUCGGGGGACAAAGUGACAGGUGGUGCAUGGUUGUCGUCAGCUCGUGUCGUGAGAUGUUGGGUUAAGUCCCGCAACGAGCGCAACCCUUAAGCUUAGUUGCCAUCACUAAGUUGGGCACUCUAAGUUGACUGCCGGUGACAAACCGGAGGAAGGUGGGGAUGACGUCAAAUCAUCAUGCCCCUUAUGAUUUGGGCUACACACGUGCUACAAUGGACAAUACAAAGGGCAGCGAAACCGCGAGGUCAAGCAAAUCCCAUAAAGUUGUUCUCAGUUCGGAUUGUAGUCUGCAACUCGACUACAUGAAGCUGGAAUCGCUAGUAAUCGUAGAUCAGCAUGCUACGGUGAAUACGUUCCCGGGUCU